GAUGAGCGCUGGCGGCGUGCCUAAUACAUGCAAGUCGAGCGAACGGACGAGAAGCUUGCUUCUCUGAUGUUAGCGGCGGACGGGUGAGUAACACGUGGAUAACCUACCUAUAAGACUGGGAUAACUUCGGGAAACCGGAGCUAAUACCGGAUGAUAUUUUGAACCGCAUGGUUCAAAAGUGAAAGACGGUCUUGCUGUCACUUAUAGAUGGAUCCGCGCUGCAUUAGCUAGUUGGUAAGGUAACGGCUUACCAAGGCAACGAUGCAUAGCCGACCUGAGAGGGUGAUCGGCCACACUGGAACUGAGACACGGUCCAGACUCCUACGGGAGGCAGCAGUAGGGAAUCUUCCGCAAUGGGCGAAAGCCUGACGGAGCAACGCCGCGUGAGUGAUGAAGGUCUUCGGAUCGUAAAACUCUGUUAUUAGGGAAGAACAUAUGUGUAAGUAACUGUGCACAUCUUGACGGUACCUAAUCAGAAAGCCCCGGCUAACUACGUG
This 497-nucleotide ribosomal RNA is filed under the name uncultured bacterium. RNAcentral's name for it is "partial 16S ribosomal RNA". It matches the Rfam family "Bacterial small subunit ribosomal RNA", at positions 28 to 507 of the family's 1533-position model. The record is from RNAcentral.